GAUGAAGAACGUAGCGAAAUGCGAUAAGUAAUGUGAAUUGCAGAAUUCAGUGAAUCAUCGAAUCUUUGAACGCACCUUGCGCCCUUUGGCUAUUCCGAAGGGCAUGCCUGUUUGAGUGUCAUUUUGAACUCUCAAAGCCCACGCACAUUUUGACGUGGGCUUUUGGACUUGAGGGCUUUUUGCAGGCUUUUGAUUCAGAAAGCCUGCUCCCUUGAAAAUCAUCAGUGGUAUCUGGAGCGGAAACCGCUAGGUGUUGAUAACAUUCAUCUAUGCCUUUGGGUAUGCCGCGUAAAUGUGCUGCUUCCAACGCCCCAUGCUCUUUUGACAAACUUGACCUCAAAUCAGGUAGGACUACCCGCUGAACUUAAGCAUAUCAAUAAGCGGAGGA
RNAcentral lists this unclassified non-coding RNA (388 nucleotides) under soil metagenome. RNAcentral describes it as "partial contains 5.8S ribosomal RNA, internal transcribed spacer 2, and large subunit ribosomal RNA". The stretch from base 1 to 121 matches the Rfam family "5.8S ribosomal RNA", at positions 35 to 154 of the family's 154-position model. The record is from RNAcentral.